Molecule: ribosomal RNA, 459 nt
Filed under: uncultured bacterium
Lineage: Bacteria
Description: partial 16S ribosomal RNA
Rfam family: Bacterial small subunit ribosomal RNA
Source: RNAcentral
CCUACGGGUGGCAGCAGUGAGGAAUAUUGGUCAAUGGCCGGAAGGCUGAACCAGCCAAGCCGCGUGAAGGACGAAGGUGCCAAGCAUUGUAAACUUCUUUUGUCAAGGGACAAAAUCAGGCUCGAGAGCCUGACCGAGGGUACUUGAAGAAAAAGCAUCGGCUAACUCCGUGCCAGCAGCCGCUGUAAUACGGAGGAUGCGAGCGUUAUCCGGAGUUAUUGGGUUUAAAGGGUGCGUCGGCGGGCGUUUAAGUCAGCGGUAAAAGCCCGGGGCUCAACCCCGGCGAGCCGUUGAAACUGGCGGUCUUGAGAUGUCGAGAGGUAUGCGGAAUGCGCAGUGGAGCGGUGAAAUGCUUAGAUAUUGCGCAGAACUCCGAUUGCGAAGGCAGCAUACCGGCGGCGAUCUGACGCUGAGGCACGAAAGCGUGGGUAUCGAACAGGAUUAGAUACCCUUGUAGUC